This is a long non-coding RNA of Amblyraja radiata (thorny skate), 285 nucleotides long. RefSeq lists it as uncharacterized. NCBI's taxonomy places the organism in Eukaryota, Metazoa, Chordata, Chondrichthyes, Rajiformes, Rajidae. The record is from RefSeq and is a predicted model, not a curated record. The transcript has 3 exons.
GUGCGCGUUCGUUACGGAUGACGCGUACACGCUGGGUGGACAAUGGCACGCGCUGCCGUUGCCUUUUCCGCCGCGAGGCACUUGGAGCGGUGUUGGCAGCAGCUUCGGCAGCAAAGUGUGUUCAUGUAACGCGGCUCCUUACAACUUCACUCACACAUACACACACACCUUCACUUUCCACGCCGGCAUGGGAUGUUGCUGAAAUUUUGUGCUCUAUGGUGAUAUUGGACGAAAAUGAAAAGCUUAAAAGCCAAGUUCAGGAAAAGUGAUGUGAAUGAUUGGAAU